This 4262-nucleotide long non-coding RNA is filed under the name Homo sapiens (human). RNAcentral describes it as "HSALNT0311051". Lineage: Eukaryota; Metazoa; Chordata; Mammalia; Primates; Hominidae. The record is from RNAcentral.
GCCUGGGAGACAAAGUGAGACUUAAAAGGAAAAAAAAAAAAAAGAGUGUUAUGAGCACAUUUUGUUAAAAACAAAGAAGUGUAAGUUGUGUGGGUAUAUACUCUGGGUAUCUAACAUGUUAAUAGUGCUUAAAUAAAGCUAUUAAUAUUUGCAGUUUGAAAACAAAAGUUACGAUCUCAUACUUUUUUUUGGAACCACCACAUUGAAUGGACCACAAGUAAACUUGAGCAAAUGAACUAGUAAUUGUUAAUAUAUACUUUAUUCCAUCUAGUUUACUUUGGUUUGGAGAUUCAGCUUUAUUUCCCCUGUAGGGACAGACAUCCCAAUUGCUCCCAAACCAUUUACCAAUGAGUAUAUCCUUUCCUCAUGACUUGAAGUGACACCUGUAUAAUGAACUAAUCUCCUAUAUAAACCUAAGUAUCUCUGGACCUUCCUUCAUGUUCCAUUGAUCUAUUUGUCUAUUUCUGUACUAACACCACAUGACUUAAAAUACUAUACCGUUAGUAUAUUUCGAUCAUAUCCUUCCUUUCUUGCGGUUUUAAAUUUCCUAAUGUCAUAUUUGUUUUACUAGAUUUCAUAUUUCUUUUAAAAUAAUUUUUGAAGUCUAUCAAAGUAAUACAUACAUACAGAUUUUAAAAAACCAGUUUUACAAAAGGUUUUAUAAAUCUCAAUUCCAUUGUUCAGGUCUCCAGAGUUCCCUUUUGUAAUGCUUGUUUUUACUGAUAGGAUUCAUAGGCUUAUAAAAUUAUUUCUUCAUUUAUCAGCUUGAGACAUUUUCUAGUGAUUUCUUACAAUAGAUGAGGACUUAGGUUCCUUUCAACAUCAGCUCUACCUUUCUUCUUUCUUCUCCCUUAUACUAGCCCAUUUUUGUCACAUCAGACAGCAUAAUCUUUAAAAACAUAAAUCAUAUUACUCUGUGAGUUAAAAAUGUGCCAAUAAUUUCUACAGUCACAUCAGUAUUCUUGUUCUUGGAAUACUGCAAAAUUUAAAUUUUGAUGAAAUCCAACUUAUCUGUUUUUCCAUUUGUUGCCUAAGCUUCUGAUACCAUAUCCAAGAAUCCACUGCCAAAUCGGAGUUCAUGAAGAUUUAUUCCUGUUUUAAGUGUUUUAUUUUCCUGUAUCUAUUGAGAUGAUUAUGUGGUUUUUGUAUUUUUACUAUUGAUAUGGUCUACUACAUUAAUAGAUUUUUGGAUGUUAAUCUAACCUUACAUUCCUGGGAUAAAUCCCUCUUGGUCAUUGAUAUGGUUUGGCUCUGUGUCCCCACACAAAUCUCAUCUUGAAUUAUACUCCCAUAAUUCCCACGUGUUGGAGGGACUGGUGGGAGAUAACUGAAUCAUGGGGGUGGUUUCUGCCACACUGUUCUUGUGGUAGUGAAUAAGUCUCAUGAGAUCUGAUGAUUUGAUAAGGGGAAACCCAUUUCACUUGGCUCAUUCUCCCUCUCUGCCUGCUGACAUCCAUGUAAGACAUUAUUUGCUCUUCCUUGACUUCUGCCAUGAUUGUGAGGCUUCCUGAGCCACAUGAAACUGUAAGUUCAAUUAAACCUUUAUUUUGUAAAUUGCCCAGUCUCAAGUAUGUCUUUAUCAGCAGCAUGAAAAUGAACUAAUACAGUCAUGGUAUAUACUUCUUUUACAUAUGUUGCUAAAUUUGGCUUGCCAGCAUUUUGUUGAAGAUUAAGGCAUUCAUAUUCAUAAAGAGAUGCUGGUCUGUAGUGUCUUUUUUGAUGUGCGAUGUCUCUGUCUAGUUUUGGUAUCAGAAUAAAACUGGUCUCAUAGAAUAAACUGGGAAGUGUUCCUUCCUCUUCUGUUUGUUUGGAAGAAUGUGUGAAGAAUUGAUAUUAAUUGUUUGGUGGAAUUUACCACCAGUGACGCCAUCUGAGCCUGGGCUUUUCUUUGUGCAGUUUUAUUUUAUGUAUUUUUUUUUUUUUUUUGAGAUGGGGUGCUGCUCUGUCACUCGGGCUGGAGUGCAGUGGUGUAAUCACAGUUCACUGCAGCAUCGACCUCCCAGACUCAAAUGAUCCUCCUACCUCAGCCUCCUGAGUAGCUGGGACUACAGGUGUAUGCCACCACACUCAAUUAAUUUUUGUAUAGACAGGGUUUCACCAUGUUACCCAGGCUGGUCUCUUCUGGGCUCAGGCAAUCCACCUGCCUCAGCCUCCUAAAGUGCUGGGAUUACAGGUGUGAGCCACCGUGCCUGGCUUGUGCAUAGUUUUUGAAUACUAGAUCAAUUUCCUGUUAUAGUUCUAUUCAUGCUAUCUAUUUCUUCUUCAGUCAGUUUUGGUAGUUUGUAUUUUUCUAGGAAUUUGUCCAUUUCAUCUAAGUUUUUUUAUAAGCUCAGUAGUUAAAAUAAUUUUUAAGUCUUUAAAUCAAAUACUUACAGAUUUUUAAAAAAAGUUUUAGAAAAUGUUUUAUAAUUUUUUAUUUUUAUUUUUAUUUUUUUGAGACAGAGUCUCCCUCUGUUGCCCGGGCUGGAGUGCAGUGGCGCAAUCUCGGCUCACUACAACCUCUGCCUCCCAGGUUCAAGCCAUUCUCCUGCCUCAGCCUCCUGAGUAGCUGGGACUGCAGGUGCGUGCCACCACACUCAGCUAAUUUUUCAUAUUUUUAGUAGAGACAGGGUUUCACCAUGUUAGCCAGGAUGGUCUUGAUCUCCUGACCUCAUGAUCCACCCGCCUGUUUCCCAAAGUGCUGGAAUUACAGGCGUUAGCCACUGUGCCCAGCCAUCAUUUUAUAAAUCUUAAUUCCCUUUUUCAGCUCUCCAGAGUUCCCUUUUGUAAUGCUUGUUUUUACUGAUAGGAUUGACAGGCUUAUACAAUUAUCUCUUCAUUAUCAGCUUGAGACAUUUUCUAGUGAUUUCCUGCCACAAUAGGUAACGACUACGGUUUCAUUUCUUUUUUUUUUUUUUUUUUUUUUUGAGUUGGGAGUCUCACUAUCAUCCAGGCUGGAGUAGAGCAGCAUGAUCAUAGCUCACUGCACCCUUGAACUCCUUGGCUCUAGUGAUCUUCCUGCUUCAGUCUCUUGAGUAUCUGGGACUACAGGCAUGCACCACCAUACCCACCUAAUUUUGAAUUUUCUUUUUUUGCAUAGAUGAGGUCUUGUCAUAUUGCCCAGUCUGGUCUCAGACUCCCAGCCUCAAGUGAUCCUCCCACCUUGGGAUUACAGGUGUGAGCCACCACACCCAGCACAUUUGUAAUUCCAGUAAUUUGAAUGUUUUCUCUUUUUACCCUGAUAUGUUUAGCUAAAGGUUUGUCAAUUUUGUUGAUCUUUCCAAAGAACCAGCUUUUGGUUUCACUGGUUUUCCCAGUCUCUAUUUCAUUAACUUUUGCUUUAAUCUUGAUUACAUCCUUCCUUUUGCUGUCUUCAGGUUUAGUAUGCUUUUCUUUUUCCAGUGUCUUAUGGUGGUGAAUCGAUUACUGAUUUGAGAGCUUUCUUUUUAUUGUAGGCAUUAACAGCUAUAAAUUUCCCUAGAAGCAUUGCUUGAGCUUUAUCCCAUACAUUUUGGUAUGCCAUGUCUUCAUUUUCAUUCAUCUCAAUGUAUUUCUUAGUGUAUUUUCUUAUUUCUCUUUUGAUUUCCUCUUCGGCCCACUGACUAUUUAAGAGUGAGCUGUUUGUGGGUUUUCUAAAUACCUUUCUAUUAUUGACUCUAAUUUCAUUCUAUUGUGGUCAGAGAACAUACUGUGUAUUCAUUCUAUCAUUUUAAUCUAUUGAGGUUUCAUGGCCUAGCGUGCAGAAUGUUCCUAGUGUAGUUGAGAAGAAUAUUCUGCUGUUGUUAGGUGCAGUGCUCAUCACUGGAAAUAAAGAUCACAAAAAAUGUAUAUUCUGUGUACUUUUUUUCUUUUUUUUUUUUUUAAGAUAAGGUCUCACUCUGUCACCCAGGCUGGAGUGCAGUGGCAUGAUCUUGUCUCAUUGCAUCCUCGACCUCCUGGGCUCAAGUGAUCCUUCCACCUUAGCCUCCCAGGUAGCUGGGGCUACAGGUGCAUGCCAAUGCACCCAAUUUUUUUUUAUUUUUAGCAGAGACAGGGUUUCUCCACGUUGCUCAGGCUGGGCUCAAGCUCCUGAGCUCAGACAAUCUGCCUGCCUCAGCCUACCAUGUUGAGAUUACAGGCGUGAGCCACUGCGUCCGGCCUAUGUGUACUCCUUUUGCAGCAAAUGUUGAUGGAAAUAAUUCACCAGAAAAGAAAGUAAAUAGAAGUAAAUAUAAGAUGCAAGAAACAGGCUGGGUGCAGUGGCUCACAUCUGUAAUCCCAGCAUUUUGGGAGGCUAAGGUGGG